GAUGAACGCUAGCGGCAGGCCUAAUACAUGCAAGUCGAACGGUUAUGGGUUGUAGCAAUAUGAUUCAUGAUAGUGGCGCACGGGUGCGUAACGCGUAUGCAACCUACCCUUAACUGGGGGAUAGCCCCGGGAAACCGGGAUUAAUACCGCAUAAUAUAAUUUUGUUGCAUAAUGAGAUUAUUAAAGAUUUAUUGGUUAAGGAUGGGCAUGCGUGCCAUUAGCUAGUUGGCGGGGUAACGGCCCACCAAGG
RNAcentral lists this ribosomal RNA (250 nucleotides) under uncultured bacterium. RNAcentral's name for it is "partial 16S ribosomal RNA". It matches the Rfam family "Bacterial small subunit ribosomal RNA", at positions 28 to 273 of the family's 1533-position model. The record is from RNAcentral.